GGCGUGAGCCACCGCGCCCGGUCUGUUGUUUCCAUUUUUAUGUCCCUGAGUACCCAGUGUUUUAUUUGCAUAUAUGACAUGAUUUCGUUCUUUUUUUAUGGCUACAGAUAACUAUGCUUAAACAUUUUCAGGAACUACCAGACUUUUUUCCAGAGCACCUGCAGUAUUUUACAUUCACAUUUGCAGUGUGAUGAGAGGGUUCCGUUUCUCUACAUCCUCACCAACACUUGUUUUUACCUGUCUUUUUGACUGUAGCUAUUCUAGUGGGUGUGAAGUGUUAUUUUCUUGCCGGUUUGGUUUGCAUUUCCCCAACGGCUAAUGCCGUUAUUCAUCUUUGAUAUGCACUUUGGGAAUUUGUGUGUCAUCUUUGGGAAAAUGUUUGUUCAGAUUUGUUACUCAUUUUUAAUCAGAUUAUUUUUAUUGAGCUGUGGAGUUGUUAUUGGUAGAAUUAGAUAAACACCGUGUCAGAUGUAUGAUUAGCAACAUUCUACAUGUUGUCUUUUUUCAGACACAAAAGUUUUUAUUUUUGACAGUACAAAUUUAUUUUUUCUUUUGUUGCUUGUACUUUCGGCGAAAACUUAUGCCUGUAUUUUGUUUUAAAGUUUUACAGUUUUAAGACUUUAUGUAGGUCUGUAAUUCAUUUUGAAUUUAUUUUUGCAUAGGGUGUGAUCGAGCCGUUCAGCUCAGUUUUAUUUUGCAUGUGCCACCUCCCAUUUUUAAACUCGUGUCGCAUAAUGUUUCCAUAAAUGAAGAACUGUGUAUUUGAAGGUGGUCCCAUAAGAUAAGAAUAUAUUUUUACUGUACCUUUUCUAUGUUUAGAUAUGCUUAGAUAUACAAAUACUGACAUGUUGUGUUAUAGUUGCCUGCAAUCUUCAGUACAGUUACAGGCUGUAUAGGUUUGUAGGCUAGACCAGGAGCAUUAGGUUAUACCACAUAGCUGAGGUGUGUAGUAGACUCUACCAUCUAGGUUUUUGUCAGUACACUCUUAUGAUGUUUGCACGACAAAAUAUGCCUGACGACAUAUUUCUCAGAACGUAUCCUUUUUAAGCAACACGUGACUGUAUUGUGUAAAAUCCCCAUAGUAAUAUAUACAUAAUAAUAUAUAGUACCUGCACAUAGAAUGUUACGUGUAAUUUUCACAAACUCAUUGUAGCACUGUGCUAAAAUAUGUAGCCAUACAUAUAUAUUUCAGAUAAGGUAUGACAGUACUAUUUUUUAAAUGAUGAAAUUUGGUGAGUGUCUUCAUUUAUCUCUGCCACUUCAGUGUUUGGACCUAACUAUUAACAAAGGAGUCUACUUAAUGUCAUUUGUUUGUGACAGAUGUCAGGCAGAUGUAUUUUAUAGCUUUAUUGUCAGUGGUGAGAUUUUUCCAAGUAGUGAACAUUUUGAUAAAAGUUCCAAACAGAAUUAAGUUUCGUACAGUACAAUUUGCAUAGCAGCUGUAUUCCUGGAAAAUUCAGCAUGGUGUGCUAAGCAGAUUUUGGUUCUAGACUCAAUUAUAAGAAGCUUGUUUUCAGAUGUUAGUUCUUUGGGAGACAUGCGUAGUACACAGUAGGCAUCCCUGGCCUCCUUUGACUAAAUAUCAGUGCACUUUCAUCUAGAGCAGUGCUGUCCAGUGAGUCAGAUAGGCAGUUUUAAGUUUUUUAGUAGCCAACAGCUGGAAUUUUAAUUAUAUUUAUUAACCAGAUAUAUCUAAAAUACUUAUAUAAUCAAUAUAAAAAUUAAUGUGAUAAUUUGCAUUUGUUUUCCCCUAAGUCUUGGAAUUUAGUGUGUAUUUUACACAUACAGAAAAAUACCAAUUUAUACUAGCCAUGUUUCUAGUAUUCAGUAGCUAUGUGUGGCCAGUGACUGUCAUUGAAGAGCCCAAAUGAGAGGGAUUAACUCUAUAGCCAAGUGUCAGAUUGUUGAUACUUAUUGUGAUACAUUUUUCCCUCCCCCAAGGGACAAAGCCUAGUUAGCUAUAAAUUUUGCUUUUCACCACCAAGUUUCUUGAUACACAGUUGGUAAAUUGCAGAAUGGUGUUAUUAUAAACUGAAGUUGUAUUGGUUCAUGUGUAAAGAAAUUUUUUAGUCAAGGAGAAUCAGAAUAGUAGAAGGUAGGGUUAUUACCUUCAGAUAGAAAGGAAAAAGCCCCCAACCAAGCAAGAAUCCCUAAAGAAAAUUCAAGUCGGCUUUCCUAGCCUUGCAUGGCUCUCUGUGGCAAGUCACACUUUACUGUGUGUCCAUAUUAAUUAUAUCCUCAGUGCUCAGAACUUCGCUUCCAUUUCCAUGUUCUUAGCCCCAAAUAGCUGCAUUUUUAUCCUAAUGUAUUUUGCAUUAUUAUCACUUGGAAGUCAUUUAUAUCCAUGCUGAACUGCUCGCCUGUGCUAUUCAGGUUUUUAUUAGUGCUCUGAUAAUAAAGUUACAUAAUUUUGAGUGGUUUUGUUCCUAUUCUAUUUUUUUCCAUAAGACUUAUUAGUGUGCAGUUUUACAGAAUUCAAGAUUUUUCAAGGAAAACAUACAUCAUGUUAUAGCAGAAAUACCCAUUACAGAUAUGUGGCUUUCUUGGUGAAACCCUUUUUUUUUUUAAGUGCUUGUGGCCGCUGGUUAGGAGCCUUUUGAUGAAAGGUGAAGGACCCUGGAAGGCAGUACAACAUGUAGAAUAACAGGAAGAAGAUCCUUGGGAAGGUACUAGAAAAGACAGGAAGAGACAUGAAGAGUACAGUCAUCUCUGUAAGUGAAGAGGGUAUGAUUACCAGUUUAUUUUAGCAUAUUGCUUAUCUUUUCAAGGGAGAUUUGUUGAGUAUCCUCUACCAUUUGACUUUGUAAACCUAUGUUUCCCAGUGUGUGGCCUAGGUGCUAACUAUACUAGAACUGUCCUGGGAAUGCCCUUUAAAAAUUCAGGUCUUAAGCCAGGCAUGGUGGCUCACGCCUGUAAUCCCAGCACUUCGGGAGACCGAGGCAGGUGGGUCACUUGAGGACAGGAGUUUGUGACCAGCCU
Long non-coding RNA from Sapajus apella (tufted capuchin), 2979 nucleotides. RefSeq lists it as uncharacterized. The transcript has 3 exons. The record is from RefSeq and is a predicted model, not a curated record. NCBI's taxonomy places the organism in Eukaryota, Metazoa, Chordata, Mammalia, Primates, Cebidae.